This 421-nucleotide ribosomal RNA is filed under the name Escherichia coli. Its description in RNAcentral is "bacterial SSU rRNA". It matches the Rfam family "Bacterial small subunit ribosomal RNA", at positions 1 to 418 of the family's 1533-position model. Lineage: Bacteria; Pseudomonadati; Pseudomonadota; Gammaproteobacteria; Enterobacterales; Enterobacteriaceae. The record is from RNAcentral.
AAAUUGAAGAGUUUGAUCAUGGCUCAGAUUGAACGCUGGCGGCAGGCCUAACACAUGCAAGUCGAACGGUAACAGGAAGAAGCUUGCUUCUUUGCUGACGAGUGGCGGACGGGUGAGUAAUGUCUGGGAAACUGCCUGAUGGAGGGGGAUAACUACUGGAAACGGUAGCUAAUACCGCAUAACGUCGCAAGACCAAAGAGGGGGACCUUCGGGCCUCUUGCCAUCGGAUGUGCCCAGAUGGGAUUAGCUAGUAGGUGGGGUAACGGCUCACCUAGGCGACGAUCCCUAGCUGGUCUGAGAGGAUGACCAGCCACACUGGAACUGAGACACGGUCCAGACUCCUACGGGAGGCAGCAGUGGGGAAUAUUGCACAAUGGGCGCAAGCCUGAUGCAGCCAUGCCGCGUGUAUGAAGAAGGCCUU